UACGAAGGGGGCUAGCGUUGUUCGGAAUUACUGGGCGUAAAGGGCGCGCAGGCGGCUCUUCAAGUCAGAUGUGAAAGCCCCGGGCUCAACCUGGGAACUGCAUUUGAGACUGGAGAGCUUGAGUUCGGGAGAGGAGAGCGGAAUUCCCGGUGUAGUGGUGAAAUGCGUAGAUAUCGGGAGGAACACCAGUGGCGAAGGCGGCUUCCUGGCCUGUUCUUGACGCUGAGGCGCGAAAGCUAGGGGAGCAAACAGG
This 253-nucleotide ribosomal RNA is filed under the name uncultured bacterium. RNAcentral's name for it is "partial 16S ribosomal RNA". It matches the Rfam family "Bacterial small subunit ribosomal RNA", at positions 524 to 776 of the family's 1533-position model. The record is from RNAcentral.